UACGAAGGGUGCAAGCGUUACUCGGAAUUACUGGGCGUAAAGCGUGCGUAGGUGGUGAGUUAAGUCUGUCGUGAAAGCCCCGGGCUCAACCUGGGAAUGGCGAUGGAUACUGGCUCGCUAGAGUGCGGUAGAGGAGAGUGGAAUUCCCGGUGUAGCAGUGAAAUGCGUAGAGAUCGGGAGGAACAUCGGUUGCGAAGGCGGCUCUCUGGACCAGCACUGACACUGAGGCACGAAAGCGUGGGGAGCAAACAGG
RNAcentral lists this ribosomal RNA (253 nucleotides) under uncultured bacterium. RNAcentral describes it as "partial 16S ribosomal RNA". It matches the Rfam family "Bacterial small subunit ribosomal RNA", at positions 524 to 776 of the family's 1533-position model. The record is from RNAcentral.